UAGGGAAUAUUGCACAAUGGGCGAAAGCCUGAUGCAGCAACGCCGCGUGCGCGAUGAAGGCCUUCGGGUUGUAAAGCGCUUUUCGGGGAGACGAGGAAGGACGGUAUCCCCGGAAUAAGGCUCGGCUAACUACGUGCCAGCAGCCGCGGUAAAACGUAGGAGCCAAGCGUUAUCCGAAUUCACUGGGCGUAAAGCGCGUGCAGGCGGUAUGGCAAGUUGGAUGUGAAAUCUCCCGGCUCAACUGGGAGAGGCCGUUCAAUACUGCCAGACUAGAGGGCGACAGAGGGAGGUGGAAUUCCGGGUGUAGUGGUGAAAUGCGUAGAUAUCCGGAGGAACACCAGAGGCGAAGGCGACCUCCUGGGUCGCACCUGACGCUGAGAUGCGAAAGCUAGGGGAGCAAACGGGAUUAGAAACCCCGGUAGUCCUAGCCGUAAACGAUGUAGACUGGGUGUCGGCGGGUAAAAGCCGUCGGUGCCGAAGCCAACGCGAUAAGUCUACCGCCUGGGGACUACGG
Molecule: ribosomal RNA, 514 nt
Filed under: uncultured Chloroflexota bacterium
Lineage: Bacteria; Bacillati; Chloroflexota
Description: bacterial SSU rRNA
Rfam family: Bacterial small subunit ribosomal RNA
Source: RNAcentral